AUUCAUGAUACAAUAGGCUGGCAGCUCUUUUAUCCACAUCAAUUUAUUUGGUUUACUCUCUGAUUUCAAUUAACAAAGCAUUGAAAAAUGUAAAUUGGAAAGGCAUACCCUGUUGAUAUGGUGUAAUCAAUGAACAGAGGGACUCUCAGAUAAUCAAGGCAUAUUAGUUAAUUAACAUUUUACCUGCUGCUGUUUAAAAAUAA
This 203-nucleotide long non-coding RNA is filed under the name Marmota monax (woodchuck). The record is from RNAcentral. Lineage: Eukaryota; Metazoa; Chordata; Mammalia; Rodentia; Sciuridae.